GCUCACCGAAGCCUUCAACAGCCCUCCCGAACUUUCCUGUUUGCACUCGUCUCUAACCUCCCCCAAUUCCAGCCGCCGCUUCCUCCUGGCCCCAUCACCAACCUCCACCCGUGCCCCGUCGCCGACACACGCUUCCUCCCUCACCGCCGCGGUGUUUCCUCCCCCGCCGCCCGGUGCUUCCUUCCCCGCCGCUGUGGCCCUUCCUCCCCCGCACCCCCACCAUCGCCGGCAUCCUCGCUCCCCUGCUCCACCAUCGCCGCGGCAACCUCCCCAGAUCUCUAAAACCGCCACAGCCGCACCCCGCCUCCUCCACCCUCGCCGUAGUUCCACCUCCCCAGCCGCCAAAGCGCCACCUCCCAAGGCGCCUCUCUCCUCCAGCCCUGACGCGCGCGACCCACCGGGCGCCGCACGUGCAUCUUCGCUGCUCCGCUUCCCGGCUGCCGGCGAGUCAUCCGCCACGCUCCCCCGACACCAGCGAGCCAUCCGCCCCGGCCCGGUCCCCAGUCGAAACCCAGGACCCCCGUUUCUCCUCCCUCCAUCCGGCCUUCCGUCUGCUCGUGGCCGGGCGCCUCUGUCCUCCUGUCCGGCUGCUGUAGGGGAAGAUUUCAGAUGCUGAUAUUCAGCGUAUUGCCAAAAGAGUUGGGUGAACAAAUGCACUCUCCAAAUGACAUCCAAGAAAAUAUUUUCAAGAGGCGGAACAAAAUAUGGUUGGCCAUGCUCGAUCCGACCAAGAGGAGCAGCAGUAGUAGGUACUGGUGCAGAUUAGGGUGUGUGGUGAUGCGAGGAGAAGCCUGUGCACCAUUGCCACUGGCCUCCUCUAGCUUCGUCGAUGGCUACUUCCUUCUUAUUGCUAGUACAGAAAAGAAUGAACUACGGGUUGCUUCUGCCUCAUGACCAAAGUGCAUGCAUUUUUCUCUAAACCGCUUCCUUUCUUCUUGCAGACUCCUUCCUCUGAACCAAGUACUGCUAUUCUUGCCUUUAUGUACUCACCAAAAACAAAAUCAAAAGUGAGAGAAUAGUGCUCGGUUGUGAUACGAUAAGAAAUGUGCAGUGGUGAGAGGAUAGAGGAAAAAGGACACACACUGCUAUAGAGAAACCAACUUGUGGUGAAUACUUGUUUGAUUAUGUUUGCUAGUACGUAACAAAAUAGUAGUUCACACUUCAGGGCGAGGUGGAUUUGGACUUCAGCGGCAGUACAAAGAGCACUUCGGGAGCACGUGGUGGGCUCAGAAAAACUCGUCCCCGACCACAACGGCGCGAGGAGGCCGAGCUUCUCUACCAUGGUCGUGCUCUUUUUUUGGUUGAGCUUCCAUGCUCUUUAACAAAUAAAUUCAAAUAUAAUGAAUCAUAUGUGUUCCUCUCCC
Long non-coding RNA from Triticum dicoccoides, 1364 nucleotides. RefSeq lists it as uncharacterized. NCBI's taxonomy places the organism in Eukaryota, Viridiplantae, Streptophyta, Magnoliopsida, Poales, Poaceae. The transcript is spliced from 3 exons. The record is from RefSeq and is a predicted model, not a curated record.